RNAcentral lists this ribosomal RNA (375 nucleotides) under uncultured bacterium. RNAcentral's name for it is "bacterial SSU rRNA". It matches the Rfam family "Bacterial small subunit ribosomal RNA", at positions 521 to 896 of the family's 1533-position model. The record is from RNAcentral.
UAAUACGUAGGGUGCGAGCGUUAAUCGGAAUUACUGGGCGUAAAGCGUGCGCAGGCGGUUCGUUGUGUCGGUGGUGAAAGCCCCGGGCUUAACCUGGGAAUGGCCAUGGAAACUGGCGAACUGGAGUGUGGCAGAGGGGGGUGGAAUUCCACGUGUAGCAGUGAAAUGCGUAGAGAUGUGGAGGAACACCGAUGGCGAAGGCAGCCCCCUGGGCUAACACUGACGCUCAUGCACGAAAGCGUGGGGAGCAAACAGGAUUAGAUACCCUGGUAGUCCACGCCCUAAACUAUGUCAACUGGUUGUCGGGGAAGCAAUUCCUUGGUAACGAAGCUAACGCGUGAAGUUGACCGCCUGGGGAGUACGGCCGCAAGGUUA